This 122-nucleotide small nucleolar RNA is filed under the name Castor canadensis (American beaver). RNAcentral describes it as "Small nucleolar RNA SNORA28 (ENSCCNG00000031534.1)". It matches the Rfam family "Small nucleolar RNA SNORA28". Rfam says of the family: ACA28 is a member of the H/ACA class of snoRNA that guide the sites of modification of uridines to pseudouridines. Lineage: Eukaryota; Metazoa; Chordata; Mammalia; Rodentia; Castoridae. The record is from Rfam by way of RNAcentral.
CUGCAACACUGUGGCAGAUGAUUGAAACUGUCUGACACAAUUUGAGCUUGCUAUAGCAUGAGUCUAACCUAUUCCAGCGCUCUCUCCUCUAUGAGACAAGCCGUUAUAUAGACUUAAACAGU